AAGGAAAAUACGGAAGACAUUGAGUUCGUUUUGUUUAGUUUUGAGAGGUCUUGUGGGGCCUUAGCUCAGCUGGGAGAGCGCCUGCUUUGCACGCAGGAGGUCAGCGGUUCGAUCCCGCUAGGCUCCAUUAGGAUAUGGAAUUCACCUUUAGUUGAUAGAUAUCCUAAAGUAGCACAUUGAAAAUUGAAUAACGAUAUCAAAUAGUAACAAGAAAAUAAACCGAAAACGCUGUGAAUAUUAAUGAGUUUAUGACUGAAAGGUCAAAAU
Molecule: transfer RNA, 267 nt
Filed under: Streptococcus intermedius
Lineage: Bacteria; Bacillati; Bacillota; Bacilli; Lactobacillales; Streptococcaceae
Description: 16S-23S ribosomal RNA intergenic spacer
Rfam family: tRNA (bases 55-127)
Source: RNAcentral